Astyanax mexicanus (Mexican tetra) is the source of this 426-nucleotide long non-coding RNA. RefSeq lists it as uncharacterized. NCBI's taxonomy places the organism in Eukaryota, Metazoa, Chordata, Actinopteri, Characiformes, Acestrorhamphidae. The record is from RefSeq and is a predicted model, not a curated record. The transcript is spliced from 2 exons.
GGCGCCGAGUGGUCCAGCGGUCUAAAGCGCUGCCACUAUGAGCAGGAGGUCGCAGGUUCGAACCCCAGCUCAUGCAGCUUUGCCAUCAAGCUGCCGGCGUCAGAGGGAGCAAAAUUGGCCCUGCUCCCUCUGGGUGGGUAGAUGGCGCUCUCUCCCCACAUCACUCCUAGGGUAAUGUCUGCAGCACAGGGCGUCUGUGAGCUGAUGUACCGGAGCCGAGCAGCUGUGCUUUCCUCCAAGCGCACUGGCUGCUCGGCAAUGCUGCAUCAGCAGCAGCUCGAAAAGAAGCGGUGGCUGGCUUCACAUGUAUCGGAGGAAGCAUGUGCUAGUCUUCACCCUCCUGGUGUGUUGUGGCAUUACUAGUGAUAUGGGGAGUCCUAAUGAGUGGGUUGGGUAAUUGGCCGUGUAAAUUGGGGAGAAAAAUGG